RNAcentral lists this ribosomal RNA (253 nucleotides) under uncultured bacterium. Its description in RNAcentral is "partial 16S ribosomal RNA". It matches the Rfam family "Bacterial small subunit ribosomal RNA", at positions 524 to 776 of the family's 1533-position model. The record is from RNAcentral.
UACAGAGGUCUCAAGCGUUGUUCGGAUUUAUUGGGCGUAAAGAGCUCGUAGGCGGUUUGUCGCGUCGGCCGUGAAAUCUCCACGCUUAACGUGGAGCGUGCGGUCGAUACGGGCAGACUUGAGUUCGGUAGGGGAGACUGGAAUUCCUGGUGUAGCGGUGAAAUGCGCAGAUAUCAGGAGGAACACCGGUGGCGAAGGCGGGUCUCUGGGCCGAUACUGACGCUGAGGAGCGAAAGCGUGGGGAGCGAACAGG